Molecule: long non-coding RNA, 515 nt
Filed under: Piliocolobus tephrosceles (Ugandan red Colobus)
Lineage: Eukaryota; Metazoa; Chordata; Mammalia; Primates; Cercopithecidae
Description: lncRNA (ENSPTEG00000001461.1)
Source: RNAcentral
AAUGCGCAUGUGUGUGUGUGCAUUCAAAAAUGUGUUGAUUGUAAUUAAAUCUUGUCUAUGGUAAUUGGGUAAGAAAGCAGCUCCAAUUGUGUUGUUUUUCAGAUAAGGAUCCUGCAGCUCAGAGUCACCUCUUGUUAUUCUUUAAUGGUAGCGUCUGGACACACUUAGUUCAGUUCUUCUUCUACUAUUCCAAAUGGAUGGACCACAAGGUCUGUCAGUCCUCUGCUUCAGUAUUAAUUCACCAUCAAAAAACACUUAUUGAAAGCCUUUUAUGUACCUGUUCCUAUACUUGGUACCAGGUUGCAAAGAUAUAUCUUUGAAUUCUUGGACUUAUGAGUGUAGUGGUGGAAAUAUACAGGAUACCCAAAAUGUGAUGUGAAAUUGCUAAGCAGAGGAAUGUUGCUCUGUGCUCUGGAGCCCAGAGGAGAGGAGCCACUGAUUUAUCAAAGAAACUAUUGGCUUUUAAAUAAGGUAAUCAUGUUUUCUUGCUUGCCUUGAUGAUCCAGUUUAAACUU